CGUUGUCCGGAUUAUUGGGCGUAAAGCGCGCGCAGGCGGAUCAGUCAGUCUGUCUUAAAAGUUCGGGGCUUAACCCCGUGAUGGGAUGGAAACUGCUGAUCUAGAGUAUCGGAGAGGAAAGUGGAAUUCCUAGUGUAGCGGUGAAAUGCGUAGAUAUUAGGAAGAACACCAGUGGCGAAGGCGACUUUCUGGACGAAAACUGACGCUGAGGCGCGAAAGCCAGGGGAGCGAACGGGAUUAGAUACCCCGGUAGUCCUGGCCGUAAACGAUGGGUACUAGGUGUAGGAGGUAUCGACCCCUUCUGUGCCGGAGUUAACGCAAUAAGUACCCCGCCUGGGGAGUACGACCGCAAGGUUGAAACUCAAAGGAAUUGACGGGGGCCCGCACAAGCGGUGGAGUAUGUGGUUUAAUUCGACGCAACGCGAAGAACCUUACCAGGUCUUGACAUUGAUGGACAGAACUAGAGAUAGUUCCUCUUCUUCGGAAGCCAGAAAACAGGUGGUGCACGGUUGUCGUCAGCUCGUGUCGUGAGAAG
This 535-nucleotide ribosomal RNA is filed under the name uncultured bacterium. RNAcentral's name for it is "bacterial SSU rRNA". It matches the Rfam family "Bacterial small subunit ribosomal RNA", at positions 539 to 1074 of the family's 1533-position model. The record is from RNAcentral.